UACGGGAGGCAGCAGUGGGGAAUAUUGCACAAUGGGCGCAAGCCUGAUGCAGCCAUGCCGCGUGUAUGAAGAAGGCCUUCGGGGUUGUAAAGUACUUUCAGCAGUGAGGAAGGUGGGUAUGUUAAUAGCAUAUUCAUUUGGCGUUAGCUGCAGAAGAAGCACCCGGCUAACUCCGUGCCAGCAGCCGCGGUAAUACGGGAGGGUGCGAGCGUUAAUCGGAAUUACUGGGCGUAAAGCGCAAUGCAGGUGGUUUGUUAAGUCAGAUGUGAAAGCCCGGGGCUCAACCUCGGAAUUGCAUUUGAAACUGGCAAACUAGAGUACUGUAGAGGGGGUAGAAUUUCAGGUGUAGCGGUGAAAUGCGUAGAGAUCUGAAGGAAUACCGGUGGCGAAGGCGGCCCCCUGGACAGAUACUGACACUCAGAUGCGAAAGCGUGGGGAGCAAACAGGAUUAGAUACCCUGGUAG
RNAcentral lists this ribosomal RNA (464 nucleotides) under uncultured bacterium. RNAcentral's name for it is "bacterial SSU rRNA". It matches the Rfam family "Bacterial small subunit ribosomal RNA", at positions 340 to 793 of the family's 1533-position model. The record is from RNAcentral.